RNAcentral lists this long non-coding RNA (588 nucleotides) under Junco hyemalis (dark-eyed junco). RNAcentral describes it as "lncRNA (ENSJHYG00000008972.1)". The record is from RNAcentral. Lineage: Eukaryota; Metazoa; Chordata; Aves; Passeriformes; Passerellidae.
AUUUGCACACACUGAUACAGCUUGUUUCCUGGGCCUCUGAUUGAAUCCUUGUGAGGAUGGCAAAUUUCUGAUGUGCUGAGGAGAUGAAGCUGUCACAUCCUCAUCUUCAUAGUGUCAACUGAUCAGUCAAUUCCAAGUGAACAGAGGAAGGUCACCAGAAGACAUCAAAUUCUUGUAAAUGCCAAGAACAUGGAUUACUGAGGAUAUGCUCUCUGUAGAAAAAUCUAUGUGGAAUAGAUUGCUCUUACAAAUAUCCCCACUGCAGCCAGCACAACCAAUGGAGUCUGUACUUUGAUCAUUAAGGCACCCAAGCUGCAAAACAAAACAAGCUUCAUGUUCAGUAACCCCAUGCACCAACAAGGAUUCUCUAUGGAUUCACCAAAUAAUGGCCAUUUUGAAAAUACGGGCAUCUCGCCUAUUCUCUCUCUAUUGCAGCAGCAUUGGAAAAUCCAGGAGGUGGGAUGCUCAAACAACAGAUGUGCAGACCAAAAGCAGUGAAAUUUACGGCUCUGAUUCUGAUGGCUGAAAGAAAACCAACACUGACCCUCAAGAGUUUAGGGUAUAAAUAAAGAGUUUUAGAAUUAUGCA